This 253-nucleotide ribosomal RNA is filed under the name uncultured bacterium. Its description in RNAcentral is "partial 16S ribosomal RNA". It matches the Rfam family "Bacterial small subunit ribosomal RNA", at positions 524 to 776 of the family's 1533-position model. The record is from RNAcentral.
UACGUAGGGUGCAAGCGUUGUCCGGAAUUAUUGGGCGUAAAGAGCUCGUAGGCGGUUUGGUAGGUCCGCUGUGAAAACUCGAGGCUCAACCUCGAGACGCCGGUGGAAACCAUCAGACUAGAGUCCGGAAGAGGAGAGUGGAAUUCCUGGUGUAGCGGUGAAAUGCGCAGAUAUCAGGAAGAACACCCGUGGCUAAGGCGGCUCUCUAGUACGGUACUGACGCUGAGACGCGAAAGCGUGGGGAGCGAACAGG